RNAcentral lists this ribosomal RNA (497 nucleotides) under uncultured bacterium. Its description in RNAcentral is "partial 16S ribosomal RNA". It matches the Rfam family "Bacterial small subunit ribosomal RNA", at positions 28 to 507 of the family's 1533-position model. The record is from RNAcentral.
GAUGAACGCUGGCGGCGUGCCUAAUACAUGCAAGUCGAGCGAACAGACGAGGAGCUUGCUCCCCUGACGUUAGCGGCGGACAGGUGAGUAACACGUGGAUAACCUACCUAUAAUACUGGGAUAACUUCGGGAAACCGGAGCUAAUACCGGAUAAUAUAUUUAACCGCAUGGUUCAAUAGUGAAAGACGGUUUUGCUGUCACUUAUAGAUGGAUCCGCGCCGCAUUAGCUAGUUGGUAAGGUAACGGCUUACCAAGGCAACGAUGCGUAGCCGACCUGAGAGGGUGAUCGGCCACACUGGAACUGAGACACGGUCCAGACUCCUACGGGAGGCAGCAGUAGGGAAUCUUCCGCAAUGGGCGAAAGCUUGACGGAGAAACGCCGCGUGAGUGAUGAAGGUCUUCGGAUCGUAAAACUCUGUUAUUAGGGAAGAACAAAUGUGUAAGUAACUAUGCACGUAUUGACGGUACCUAAUCAGAAAGCCACGGCUAACUACGUG